RNAcentral lists this ribosomal RNA (481 nucleotides) under uncultured bacterium. Its description in RNAcentral is "partial 16S ribosomal RNA". It matches the Rfam family "Bacterial small subunit ribosomal RNA", at positions 29 to 506 of the family's 1533-position model. The record is from RNAcentral.
AUUGAACGCUGGCGGCAUGCUUUACACAUGCAAGUCGAACGGUAACAGGCCGCAAGGUGCUGACGAGUGGCGAACGGGUGAGUAAUGCAUCGGAACGUGCCCAGUCGUGGGGGAUAACUACUCGAAAGAGUAGCUAAUACCGCAUACGAUCUAUGGAUGAAAGCGGGGGACCGUAAGGCCUCGCGCGAUUGGAGCGGCCGAUGUCAGAUUAGGUAGUUGGUGGGGUAAAGGCUCACCAAGCCAACGAUCUGUAGCUGGUCUGAGAGGACGACCAGCCACACGGGGACGGGGAAACGGCCCAAACUCCCAGGGGGGGCAGGAGGGGGGAAUUUGGAAAAAGGGGGGAAAGCCGUACCCAGAAAGGCCGGGGGGAGGAAGAAGGCCUUGGGGUUGUAACCUGUUUUUGUAGGGAAAAAAAGGGCUUUGGUUAAUCCCCGGGGGUAAUGACGGUACCGAAAGAAAAAGCCCCGGCUAACUACGU